UGCGAGGACUUGCUCAAUUCGAUCACGAAUCUCGACGGUAGUAGAUCGUGUUUAAUGAUAGGCGUUCUUUCUCUCUUUUAAGAAUUUACUUUUUUUCAUCUCGGUUCAAUUACUGUUACUUAUUUUCACGCGAGUUUGUCUAGAAAGUGACUUAGUUCCAGUGUAUUCUACAAUAUACCUACUGAACUGUUCGAAGUGAAUAACCAGGAAGGCAACUACGGGCUGCAGCAAAAUUCUCUCAAAGCUAAAUUAACGUGUCUCUGAUUAGCCCCGUCUCAUUUCGAAUUAAAACAAGCUCAAGAUGCCGAAGCCAGUCGUCCAAGUCGGCGAUGAUCCCGAUCCAAGCGAGUGGUUGUUCGUUUCGCUUGAGCAAAAGCGUAUCGAUCAGAGCAAACCUUACGAUGCCAAGAAGGCUUGCUGGGUUCCGGAUGAGAAGGAAGGCUACGUCCUGGGAGAAAUCAAGGCCACCAAGGGUGAGCUGGUCACCGUAGGCCUGCCCGGUGGUGAGACCAAGGAUUUCAAGAAGGAUCUGGUCUCCCAGGUCAACCCACCGAAAUACGAGAAAUGCGAGGAUAUGUCUAACUUGACAUAUCUUAACGAUGCCUCUGUUUUGCAUAACUUGAGAGAACGUUACAGGGCCAAGCUGAUCUACACCUACUCUGGCUUGUUCUGCGUUGUCAUCAAUCCUUACAAGCGUUGGCCGCUGUACACCAUGCGUGUCGCCAAGAUGUACCGUGGUAAGCGUCGUGCUGAAGUGCCGCCCCAUCUAUUCGCCGUUUCUGACGGUGCCUACGUCAACAUGUUGACCAACCACGAGAACCAGUCUAUGUUGAUUACCGGUGAGUCUGGUGCCGGAAAAACUGAGAACACGAAGAAAGUCAUUGCGUACUUCGCCACCAUUGGCGCCUCGACGAAGAAGGACGAAUCGACCGAGAAGAAGGGCUCCCUGGAAGAUCAAGUCGUCCAGACCAACCCCGUACUUGAGGCCUUCGGUAAUGCCAAGACCGUCCGUAACGAUAACUCUUCUCGUUUCGGUAAAUUCAUCCGUAUUCACUUCACUGGAUCCGGUAAACUGGCUGGUGCUGAUAUUGAGACUUACCUGCUGGAAAAGGCUCGUGUCAUUUCCCAGCAGACCUUGGAACGUUCUUACCAUAUCUUCUACCAGAUGAUGUCCGGUUCCGUCAAGGGACUGAAAGAUAUGUGCUUCCUGUCCAACGAUAUCUACGACUACUACAACGUUUCUCAGGGUAAAAUCACUAUUCCCAAUGUCGAUGACGGUGAAGAAUGUUUGCUGACUGAUGAAGCCUUCAACGUCUUGGGUUUCACUCAGGAGGAAAAGGACAACAUCUACCGUAUCACUGCCGCUGUCAUGCAUAUGGGUGGCAUGAAGUUCAAGCAAAAGGGUCGCGAAGAACAGGCUGAGGCCGAUGGUACCGAGGAAGGUGAUCGCGUUGCCAAGCUGCUGGGUGUCGUUACUGAAGAUUUGUACAAGAAUCUGUUGAAGCCCCGUAUCAAGGUCGGUGCCGAGUUCGUCACCAAGGGUCAAAACAAGGACCAGGUCACCAACGCCGUCGGUGCCCUUUGCAAGGGUAUCUUCGAUCGUAUCUUCAAGUGGCUGGUCAAGAAGUGUAACGAAACUCUGGAUACCAAGCAAAAACGUUCUCAGUUCAUUGGUGUACUGGAUAUUGCUGGUUUCGAGAUCUUCGACUACAACGGCUUCGAACAGCUGUGUAUUAACUUCACCAACGAGAAACUACAACAAUUCUUCAAUCACCACAUGUUUGUACUGGAGCAGGAAGAGUACAAGCGCGAAGGUAUCAACUGGGCCUUUAUUGAUUUCGGUAUGGAUUUGCUGGCCUGUAUCGAAAUGAUUGAAAAGCCUAUGGGUAUCCUGUCCAUCCUUGAGGAAGAAUCUAUGUUCCCGAAAGCCACUGAUCAAACCUUUGCUGAGAAGCUUAUGACCAACCACUUGGGCAAGUCUCCUCCAUUCCAGAAGCCAAAACCACCAAAGCCAGGUUGCCAGGCUGCUCACUUUGCUAUCGGUCACUACGCCGGUGUUGUCUCAUACAAUAUCACUGGAUGGCUUGAGAAGAAUAAGGAUCCCCUGAACGACACUGUUGUUGACCAGUUCAAGAAAGGUAACAACAAUCUGUUGGUGGAGAUCUUCGCUGAUCAUCCUGGACAAUCUGCUGCUCCCGAUGCUGGUGGCGGCAAGGGUGGACGUGGUAAGAAGGGUGCCGGCUUCGCCACCGUCUCCUCGUCAUACAAGGAACAGCUUAACAACUUGAUGACCACACUGAAAUCCACUCAGCCUCACUUCGUCCGUUGUAUCAUUCCAAAUGAAUUGAAACAGACCGGUCUCAUUGAUGCUCACUUGGUCAUGCACCAGCUGACUUGUAACGGUGUACUUGAAGGCAUCCGUAUUUGCCGUAAAGGUUUCCCCAACAGGAUGAUGUAUCCCGACUUCAAGUUGCGUUAUCUUAUCUUGGCUCCAGCAGCCAUGCAGGCUGAAACCGAUCCCAAGAAGGCUGCUGAGCAUUGUUUCAAUUCAAUCGGCCUGGACCCUGACUCCUAUCGUAUCGGACAUACCAAGGUAUUCUUCCGUGCCGGUGUCCUAGGUCAGAUGGAGGAAUUCCGUGAUGAGCGUUUGUCCAAGAUCAUGUCCUGGAUGCAAUCGUGGUGCCGUGGUUACCUUGCUCGUAAAGAGUUCAAGAAGAUGCAGGAGCAACGUGUUGCCCUGGAAGUUGUCCAGCGUAACUUGCGCAAGUACCUGAAGCUGCGUACUUGGGCCUGGUGGAAACUGUGGCAGAAGGUCAAGCCUUUGCUCAAUGUUUCCCGUGUUGAGGACCAGAUCGCUAAACUGGAAGAGAAGGCCCAGAAGGCACAGGAGGCUUUCGAGAAGGAAGAGAAACUCCGCAAGGAUCUUGAAGCUCUGAACAGCAAGCUGUUGGCUGAGAAGACUGCCCUACUUGACUCGCUGUCCGGUGAAAAGGGUGCCCUCCAGGAAUACCAGGAGAAGGCAGCCAAGUUGGUCGCCCAGAAGAAUGAUCUCGAAAACCAACUCCGAGACACCCAAGAACGGUUGGCCCAGGAAGAAGAUGCUCGUAAUCAACUGUUCCAGACCAAGAAGAAGUUAGAGCAGGAAAUUUCCGGCCAGAAGAAGGAUGCCGAAGAUCUGGAACUGCAAAUCCAGAAAAUUGAGCAGGAUAAGGCUUCCAAGGAUCACCAAAUCCGCAACUUGAAUGAUGAGAUCGCCCACCAGGACGAGCUGAUCAACAAGUUGAACAAGGAGAAAAAAAUGCAAGGUGAAGUCAACCAGAAGACUGCUGAAGAAUUGCAGGCCGCUGAAGAUAAGGUUAACCACCUGAACAAGGUUAAAGCCAAGCUUGAGCAGACUCUGGAUGAGCUCGAGGACUCACUGGAACGCGAGAAGAAACUGCGUGGUGAUGUUGAGAAGGCCAAGCGAAAGGUCGAGGGCGAUCUUAAGCUGACCCAGGAAGCCGUUGCCGAUCUGGAGCGCAACAAGAAGGAGCUUGAGCAAACCAUUAUGCGCAAGGAUAAGGAAAUCUCUGCCCUUUCCGCCAAACUGGAAGACGAGCAAUCUUUGGUUGGCAAACUGCAGAAACAAAUCAAGGAACUGCAAGGCCGUAUUGAAGAGCUGGAGGAGGAAGUCGAGGCCGAACGCCAGGCUCGCGCCAAGGCUGAGAAGCAACGUGCUGAUUUGGCCCGUGAGCUGGAGGAACUGGGCGAGCGACUUGAAGAAGCUGGUGGUGCUACCUCCGCUCAAAUCGAGUUGAACAAGAAACGUGAAGCCGAACUUGCCAAGCUGCGUCGUGAUUUGGAGGAAGCUAAUAUUCAGCAUGAAGGCACCCUUGCUAACCUACGCAAGAAGCACAACGACGCCGUUGCGGAAAUGGCCGAACAAGUCGAUCAGCUGAACAAACUGAAAACUAAAGCUGAACAUGAUCGUGCUAAUAUGUACAAUGAACUGAACAACACUCGCUCCGCUUGUGAUCAGCUUGCCCGUGAAAAGGCCGCCCAAGAAAAGAUCGCCAAGCAGCUGCAGCAUACUCUGAAUGAAGUGCAAGGCAAGCUGGAUGAAACCAACCGCACGUUGAACGAUUUCGAUGCUUCCAAGAAGAAGUUGUCCAUUGAGAACUCCGACCUGCUCCGUCAACUGGAAGAUGCCGAGUCUCAAGUGUCGCAACUCAGCAAGAUUAAGAUCUCACUCACGCAACAGCUCGAGGAUACCAAGCGUCUGGCCGAUGAAGAAUCCCGUGAACGCGCUACCCUGCUUGGCAAGUUCCGUAAUCUGGAACACGACCUCGAUAACCUGCGUGAACAGGUUGAGGAGGAAGCCGAAGGCAAGGGUGACAUUCAGCGCCAACUCAGCAAGGCCAACGCCGAGGCACAGUUGUGGCGCAGCAAGUACGAAUCCGAGGGUGUUGCCCGCGCUGAAGAACUUGAGGAAGCCAAGAGGAAGCUCCAGGCCCGCCUUGCCGAAGCAGAGGAAACCAUUGAGUCACUUAACCAGAAGUGCAUUGCUCUGGAGAAGACCAAGCAGCGUCUGUCCACCGAAGUCGAAGAUUUGCAACUCGAGGUUGACCGUGCUACCUCGAUUGCCAACGCAGCCGAGAAGAAACAGAAGGCCUUCGACAAAAUCAUUGGCGAAUGGAAACUCAAGGUUGAUGAUCUGGCUGCUGAGCUGGAUGCUUCCCAGAAGGAAUGCCGCAACUACUCCACCGAAUUGUUCCGUCUCAAGGGCGCAUACGAAGAAGGUCAAGAACAACUUGAAGCUGUACGCCGUGAAAACAAGAAUUUGGCUGAUGAAGUCAAGGAUCUGCUGGACCAGAUCGGUGAGGGCGGCCGCAACAUCCAUGAAAUCGAAAAGUCUCGCAAGCGUUUGGAAGCCGAAAAGGACGAACUGCAGGCCGCACUCGAGGAAGCUGAAGCUGCCCUGGAACAAGAAGAGAACAAGGUUCUGCGUGCCCAGCUUGAACUGUCUCAGGUCCGUCAAGAAAUUGACAGACGCAUCCAGGAGAAGGAAGAGGAAUUCGAAAACACCCGCAAGAACCACCAGCGAGCUUUGGACUCCAUGCAGGCCUCCCUCGAAGCCGAAGCCAAGGGUAAGGCUGAGGCCCUGCGCAUGAAGAAGAAGUUGGAAGCUGACAUCAAUGAGCUUGAAAUUGCCCUGGAUCAUGCCAACAAGGCUAACGCUGAGGCCCAGAAGAACAUCAAGCGCUACCAGCAACAACUCAAGGAUGUCCAAAGCGCCCUGGAAGAAGAACAGCGUGCCCGUGAUGAUGCCCGCGAACAGCUUGGAAUCUCGGAGCGCCGUGCUAAUGCUCUUCAGAACGAACUGGAAGAAUCCCGCACUCUUCUGGAACAAGCCGACCGUGGUCGUCGCCAAGCCGAACAGGAACUUGGUGAUGCUCAUGAGCAGUUGAACGAGGUUUCUGCCCAGAACGCAUCGAUCGCUGCUGCCAAGAGGAAGCUGGAAUCUGAAUUGCAGACCCUGCACUCUGAUCUGGAUGAGCUGUUGAACGAAGCUAAGAACUCCGAGGAGAAGGCCAAGAAGGCUAUGGUUGACGCUGCCCGUUUGGCUGAUGAACUUCGUGCCGAACAAGACCACGCUCAGACUCAGGAGAAACUCCGCAAAGCUCUGGAACAACAGAUCAAGGAACUGCAGGUACGUCUUGAUGAAGCCGAAUCUAAUGCCCUGAAGGGAGGUAAGAAGGCCAUCCAGAAACUUGAGCAGCGCGUACGUGAGCUCGAAUCCGAACUUGAUAGCGAGCAGAGACGCCAUGCUGAUGCCCAGAAGAACCUUCGCAAAUCCGAACGCCGCAUUAAGGAACUGACCUUCCAGUCAGAGGAAGACCGCAAAAACCACGAACGUAUGCAGGACCUCGUCGACAAACUGCAGCAAAAGAUCAAGACUUACAAGAGGCAGAUCGAAGAAGCCGAGGAAAUCGCCGCUCUGAAUCUGGCCAAAUUCCGCAAAGCUCAGCAAGAACUUGAGGAAGCCGAGGAACGUGCCGACAUAGCCGAACAAGCUGCAACCAAAUUCCGCACCAAGGGACGUGCCGGUUCGGUGCAGCGUGGUGCCAGCCCAGCACCUUCGAUCACCAGAGCGUAAGAGCGCUGUUAAAUAUCAAUCGAUAGACUAUUAUCCGUUAUCCAGUCUUACAAUCGAAUGAACCAAACUAUCCGUUCACAGUUCCCCAGAGACACCCGUCUACUUUACCAGGAUUUGCCGGUCUUACCCUUCCUACAUUCGACGACCAUGCUUUCUAAACAUUGAAACACUCUAAAGCUAUUUGUUAGAUACAACCAACACGUUUUAUUUAUUUUAUUUACACUUUAAUACAAAAUCCACAUGACCAUUCGCGGACGUCUUGAACAUCACCGUAUGGAAAAGAGAAAGAAAAGAUUUCAGAGCAGAUAAGCAACACACAGUCCGUUUUUACUCGCUCGCAAGCACACACUUCGCCGGUGCGUCUUCAAGAAAAAAAACAGCAACAACAGCAACAAGACUAAAUGAGAGAGAGACAAAACAACGACCAACGUUCACACAUGCACAUGUUGAGCCCUACGAAGUAGUAUUGUUUAUUCGUAGUAUGCGAUGUAAACCGUGUCCGUGUGUCACUAACUAAGCAUGUUGAAGACCAUAUUAAAAAUGUUAUCGAACGUCACGCGAGAUGGGACGUGCUGCAAAAAGAGAGAAAAAUCGCCUGUCAUUCAAAGAACAAACAAAAAAAUUAGCAAGAGAAGAAAGCAAUCCAUCAAAACAUAUUGAUAAUGAAACAUUGUUCUAAGUUUUUAUUUUCUUUUGUAUUCAUUUUAUUUUGUACUUUUGCUCUGAAUCUUUUAUAAUUUUAUUAAUAAAAAAUGUAUUUAUUUUUAUUAAUUAAAAUAACGAAAUAAGAUACCAUUCGAAACUAAACACGGAAAUUGAAUUAGUUUUUACUGCGAAAAUUGCGUUUCGCAGACGAACAAUCCGAAUAUGCGUGGAGCUACAUCAUGCCGAUCGUAGUCAUUUCCUAACGGGUUGCAACGUGUGGUUCGUUUAGUACAGCCUGAGAGAUAUUUAAUUAGACAAAACACGAAAUAUAAGAGACACGUUCAAAACAACAACUAACUUCAGCCCAUCAAAAUAAUAAUGUCAUCGAAGCAACACCACCGAUGACUGCUAAACGUUCGACCGUUCCUCCGCCAAACAUUAUCCUACACUCGGCUAGCAACCCAAACUCGAAGGGGCUACAGUCUGGCACUGGUGGCUGCCUCCAAUGCUGACCCCAAAGUAUCGGUUGCGAUCCGCAAGGAUUCGUGGAAACAAAUCGAUUUCGCUACUUACUUUUUUACUAUAUUUAUUGUCGAGAGAGAGAAAACACUAGAAUAUCAAAAGCACCAAAAACCUGAUUCGAAUUUGACUUUAAUACUACUCUGUAAAGCAGAAGGAAAGGAAAAUUUCUUUUGAGAAAAGGAAGCUAUUGUAAAUGUAUAUGUGUGAAAGAAGAAAACCCCAAAAAAAAAUAAAUCAAACAUCAUUUUAAAAAUA
Molecule: RNA transcript, 7558 nt
Organism: Wyeomyia smithii (pitcher-plant mosquito)
Lineage: Eukaryota; Metazoa; Arthropoda; Insecta; Diptera; Culicidae
Gene: Mhc
Gene name: myosin heavy chain, muscle
Exons: 17
Source: RefSeq, a predicted model, not a curated record